RNAcentral lists this ribosomal RNA (497 nucleotides) under uncultured bacterium. RNAcentral describes it as "partial 16S ribosomal RNA". It matches the Rfam family "Bacterial small subunit ribosomal RNA", at positions 28 to 507 of the family's 1533-position model. The record is from RNAcentral.
GAUGAACGCUGGCGGCGUGCCUAGUACAUGCAAGUCGAGCGAACAGACGAGGAGCUUGCUCCUCUGACGUUAGCGGCGGACGGGUGAGUAACACGUGGAUAACCUACCUAUAAGACUGGGAUAACUUCGGGAAACCGGAGCUAAUACCGGAUAAUAUAUUGAACCGCAUGGUUCAAUAGUGAAAGACGGUUUUGCUGUCACUUAUAGAUGGAUCCGCGCCGCAUUAGCUAGUUGGUAAGGUAACGGCUUACCAAGGCAACGAUGCGUAGCCGACCUGAUAGGGUGAUCGGCCACACUGGAACUGAGACACGGUCCAGACUCCUACGGGAGGCAGCAGUAGGGAAUCCUCCGCAAUGGGCGAAAGCCUGACGGAGCAACGCCGCGUGAGUGAUGAAGGUCUUCGGAUCGUAAAACUCUGUUAUUAGGGAAGAACAAAUGUGUAAGUAACUAUGCACGUCUUGACGGUACCUAAUCAGAAAGCCACGGCUAACUACGUG